This 305-nucleotide ribosomal RNA is filed under the name uncultured bacterium. RNAcentral describes it as "bacterial SSU rRNA". It matches the Rfam family "Bacterial small subunit ribosomal RNA", at positions 335 to 638 of the family's 1533-position model. The record is from RNAcentral.
GGCCUACGGGAGGCAGCAGUGAGGAAUAUUGGUCAAUGGGCGAGAGCCUGAACCAGCCAAGUCGCGUGAAGGAUGACGGCCCUAUGGGUUGUAAACUUCUUUUGUCAGGGAGCAAUUGGGUCCACGCGUGGGCUUAGCGAGAGUACCUGAAGAAAAAGCAUCGGCUAACUCCGUGCCAGCAGCCGCGGUAAUACGGAGGAUGCGAGCGUUAUCCGGAUUUAUUGGGCUUAAAGGGUGCGUAGGCGGAAUAUCAAGUCAGCGGUAAAAAUUCGGGGCUCAACCCCGUCGUGCCGUUGUAACUGAUG